AUUUGUAUAUACAUUGGAAAUUACAAACAUACAAACCUUUCACAACAGCUAUUCUUCAGCUUAUUGCCUUACAUAGCUCAACUUUCCCAUACUUUUACAAUUGAAGAAGAUGAAACUGAAAACCAACCAAAUAAAGAAAAAGAAAAUUACAUUUUGAAAAAACUGAACAACAUAUAACAUAUUGUUUUCACAUCACUAUUUCUGGUUUUAGGAUGCUAGAUUUGAUCUCCUUGUGGGGUAAGACUACUCCACCAUUGCUGUAAAUUUCAUCACAAACAUGAACAUCUUCGCCAAGAAUGGUCAUAUUCUCAACACGAGCCCAUUGUCCAACGGUUGAGUGCCAACCGAUAAUGCUACCUGAGACGCAUGCGUGCUUCUUAACACGGACUCCGCGCAUCACAGUGCAACGAGAGAGCCUAACCCCAGACUCAAUCACACAACCAGGGCCUAUCGCAACAUCUGGUCCAAUCAAGCAUCCUUCUCCAAUUUUGGCAGUCUCGUCCACUAUGACAUUUCCAACAAUGUGAGAACCUAAUGCCAGUUUUGGUGAAGACCUCUUCUUCAAAGAAUCUAGGUAGAGUCUAAGACCGGUGAUGUAAUCCCUUGGCUGUCCAACAUCCAUCCAAAACCCAGGAAGGACCAUAGCGUAUAGCUUUUUCUCGGCAGCAAUAUUUGGGAAAACCUCUUUCUCAAUAGAUGUUGGUCUUAAUUGAAUUCUCUCUAGAACGCAAGGAUCGAGCAGGUAAAUGCCAGCAUUGAUCUUGUUGCCAACAAAUAACUUAGGCUUUUCCACAAACCUCUCAACUUGGCCAGUGGAUUCUUCCAUGACAACAACACCAUAUUUGGAAGGCUCAUCCACCUUAGUCACCAUUAAAGAAGCCUCCCCUCCAUGGGAUUUGUGGAAUUCAAUCAUCUCCUUGAAAGGAUACUCACUGAUAACAUCACUGUUAAGAACAAAAAACGGCUCACCAGAAUCAUCUACCAGCUUGUCUCGAGCCAGAGCAAGGGGACCUGCAGUCCCAAGUGGUUCAGUUUCUUGAGAACAUGUAAUCUUAAUCCCCAGUUUUGUCUCAAAUUCUUUCAAGAAGUUCAGCAUCACCUCCGGCUGGUAGUUUAUAGCUAAGACCACUUCAGUCACUCCAACAGCCUUGAGAGCCUCGAUCUGAUGCAAAAUCAUGGGCUUGUUUGCAAAAUCAACCAGUGGCUUUGGGACACUAAGAGUUAAUGGCCUCAACCGGGUACCAAAACCUCCAACAAGAAUAAGUGCCUUCAUCCUAAUUUCUCAAAACUCCUUGAACUAAAUCACCUUCCAAGACUGGAGUUGACUCAAGUCAAGCAAAAUAUUGAUAGAUCACAAACAGUGACGGUCGG
RNAcentral lists this unclassified non-coding RNA (1371 nucleotides) under Hevea brasiliensis (rubber tree). The record is from RNAcentral. Lineage: Eukaryota; Viridiplantae; Streptophyta; Magnoliopsida; Malpighiales; Euphorbiaceae.